Long non-coding RNA from Alosa sapidissima (American shad), 951 nucleotides. RefSeq lists it as uncharacterized. The transcript has 4 exons. NCBI's taxonomy places the organism in Eukaryota, Metazoa, Chordata, Actinopteri, Clupeiformes, Clupeidae. The record is from RefSeq and is a predicted model, not a curated record.
UCUCGUGCAUGAGGUCGGGCAGACUAGGAACUGUCCAUCCAGUAAGCUCGUGUGCAGCUGACCAGAAAGUACUGUAAUUACAAAGCUCUCUUUGGCCUGUCCACCCAGCUACAGCUAACUUUGGAUGGGAGGAAUCAUUGUCCAUUUAGCACAGUCGGCCCUUGCGGGGAAUAUCAUCAAACGACAGAACGAGGUGAAGACAGAAGGAUCUCCUGGAUGCCCUCCAGCCUCAAAGGACCAGUCCAAACACAGAUUUUUCCCUCCCUCUCAGAGGUGAAAAUGGAUACGAGUGAGGGAGGCAUGACUGAUAUUACAGGAUGGUGAAAAAUGAUGCGUAAUUACACCCCCCUUGAGAGGCUGACGAGUGACCUAACAAGUUUCUCAGUGCAGCUCUCGUGUGUCCCCAGCUACAGCCAAACCUGCCUGUGCCGACCGCUGUGAGCGAGUGGCCUGCUGCACAGCCGUGUUUAUCCGAGGGUGGGGGCGGGCCGAUCAACAGAGAGAGCGAUAGGGCACUGCUGACCAUGAGCUCCCAGUGCCACGGCGGGUGUAUGUGUGUGUGUGUGUGUGGGGGUAGUCUGUUGUUGCCACGCCACCAUCGGGGGAUCGGUGCUCCCCGGCGUCAUGGUUCAGAGGGAAGAGCACCUCCAGCCCAGCGCCCCCAUCACGACCUCUUAAACACCACUUUUCUGGGGUUGUGAUGGCUCACCGUGGGGGCCUGCUAGGAGCCAGGAGGGGGAGGAGAAGCUUAAUUUAGCAGAAACACACGUGCGCCUGCAACACACAGGCGAGAUCAGACCCGCGACCGCAAAAUGGUUCUAAUAUAUUCCCAGUGCUACUUGUGAAUAUGAAUAAAAAAAUUAAUAAUUAAUUUUUGCCCAGGGCAUGAAAAGAUAUACUAGUUUUAAUUAGUGUACUGUACUCUUAUGCAAUUAAAAAAUAAUUGAUGUC